AAAACAUUGCAAACGACUAAAUAAAUAAUCAAGAAAUACAUUUAACAAUUAAAAGAUAAUUAAUCAACUACGCAAAUGAAUAUUUUUUUAAAAAUCAAAUAAUUAUUAAUCUAGAUAAGAUGAUUAAUUAAGAAAAAUAAAUAAAAUAAAAUAAAUAAAAUAAAAAAUAAAUAAAUAAUAAAAGGGGAGUGUAGAAAUGAUUAGGCCAAGGUGCAAAUAUCAAGCUGACUUGGGUCUAAC
This 240-nucleotide long non-coding RNA is filed under the name Lathyrus oleraceus (garden pea). RNAcentral's name for it is "Pisum sativum (pea) long non-coding RNA (PSAT_LNC022054)". The record is from RNAcentral. Lineage: Eukaryota; Viridiplantae; Streptophyta; Magnoliopsida; Fabales; Fabaceae.